GGGCGGCUAGCUCAGUUGGUUAGAGCGCUGUGUUCACACCGCAGAGGUCACAGGUUCAAAUCCUGUGUCGCCCA
This 74-nucleotide transfer RNA is filed under the name Planctomycetota bacterium. RNAcentral describes it as "tRNA-Val". It matches the Rfam family "tRNA". Rfam says of the family: Transfer RNA (tRNA) molecules are approximately 80 nucleotides in length. Their secondary structure includes four short double-helical elements and three loops (D, anti-codon, and T loops). Further hydrogen bonds mediate the characteristic L-shaped molecular structure. tRNAs have two regions of fundamental functional importance: the anti-codon, which is responsible for specific mRNA codon recognition, and the 3' end, to which the tRNAs corresponding amino acid is attached (by aminoacyl-tRNA synthetases). tRNAs cope with the degeneracy of the genetic code in two manners: having more than one tRNA (with a specific anti-codon) for a particular amino acid; and 'wobble' base-pairing, i.e. permitting non-standard base-pairing at the 3rd anti-codon position. The record is from RNAcentral. Lineage: Bacteria; Pseudomonadati; Planctomycetota. RNAcentral also lists the same sequence under 1 other name.